GAUGUCGGCUCAUCGCAUCCUGGGGCUGAAGUAGGUCCCAAGGGUUGGGCUGUUCGCCCAUUAAAGCGGUACGCGAGCUGGGUUCAGAACGUCGUGAGACAGUUCGGUCCCUAUCUGUCGCGGGCGCAGGAAGUUUGAGGAGAGCUGUCCUUAGUACGAGAGGACCGGGAUGGACGCACCUCUGGUGCACCAGUUGUCACGCCAGUGGCAUAGCUGGGUAGCUAUGUGCGGACGGGAUAAGCGCUGAAAGCAUCUAAGCGUGAAGCCCCCUCCAAGAUGAGACUUCCCACAGCGUUAAGCUGGUAAGACCCCUCAUAGACGAUGAGGUUGAUAGGUUCGGUGUGGAAGCGCGGCAACGCGUGGAGCUGACGAAUACUAAUCGGUCGAGGACUUAUCCAC
Molecule: ribosomal RNA, 399 nt
Filed under: Brevibacillus agri BAB-2500
Lineage: Bacteria; Bacillati; Bacillota; Bacilli; Caryophanales; Paenibacillaceae
Description: bacterial LSU rRNA
Rfam family: Bacterial large subunit ribosomal RNA
Source: RNAcentral